UACAGAGGGUGCGAGCGUUGUCCGGAAUCACUGGGCGUAAAGGGUGCGUAGGUGGCCUGAUAAGUAGGGGGUGAAAUCUCGAGGCUCAACUUCGAGGCUGCCUCCUAAACUGUCAGGCUUGAGCAGAGUAGAGGCAGGUGGAAUUCCCGGUGUAGCGGUGGAAUGCGUAGAUAUCGGGAGGAACACCGGUGGCGAAGGCGGCCUUCUGGACGGAUACUGACGCUGAGACGCGAAAGCGUGGGGAGCAAACAGG
Molecule: ribosomal RNA, 253 nt
Filed under: uncultured bacterium
Lineage: Bacteria
Description: partial 16S ribosomal RNA
Rfam family: Bacterial small subunit ribosomal RNA
Source: RNAcentral